AUUUUCUCCCCUUCUUUCUUCUCUUUUUUGUCGCCCUCUCCCUCGCUCGCCUCUGUGCUGUGCUGGCCGGAGGUUUGGGUGUGGAUGCCAGUAGCGUUCGAGGGUGUGACCCUGCUUUUUGCAGUGGUGACACCGCUCGACGUUGGCAGGCGUCCCCCCUGCCUCGGGCUGGCUCUCCCGAGAGCGUGGCAAAGGCUCUGCCUUCAUUUUCGUGAUUGCUUGAUGCUCCCAUGGUGAUGCAUCGAGUUUCUUCUUGCUGAAGAAGAGCUAUGACAGCAUCAAGCCGAGGUAAGCUACUAGAAAGAAGAAUUUGGGACCGAAGGGCUUCGUAGCUCACAUCGAGUCCGCUGAGGUAAGAGAUUUUGCAUAUCUGGUUACUUUCUAGAUGGGACCCAAAAGGACUAUGUCAAAGAUGGAUUCUUUGACACGGAAAGAAGAGAGACUGAGACCAAGUCAGUUUCCAUACUGUAAUUGCCUACUAUUACAGUCAAUAUACAGGGGUGUCUAUCUACUAUAAGCUGCCUCUAGGAGGAUUAUAGCAAAUGGAGUUUUGGGGUGACUGGUGACACUUGGUUCUUUCUUUUCCGUCGCAGGGUUAACUUGCCCCCAGAAGAGCUGCCACUGUUAGUUGUUAGUGUCAGUGAAAGAGGGAAGGAAUAAUAUCAUAAUAGGAACACACCUAUUUAUAGUAGGAAUUAAAUCUGGGACCUUGGGCGUCUUGCCAUUAGGGCAAUGGAUCAUUUGCACUGUGUGAACAGCAUGAAAAGCUUAGCUCCAUGGACUCUUUAAUGCUCUUGUUUCCCUUUACUACAAGUUAUCAAAUUUCAAAUGGAAUGGAAGAACAGCUCUGUAGACGGCUGCUGUGAGAGGGAGA
Molecule: long non-coding RNA, 874 nt
Organism: Ricinus communis (castor bean)
Lineage: Eukaryota; Viridiplantae; Streptophyta; Magnoliopsida; Malpighiales; Euphorbiaceae
Exons: 4
Source: RefSeq, a predicted model, not a curated record